RNAcentral lists this ribosomal RNA (377 nucleotides) under uncultured bacterium. RNAcentral's name for it is "bacterial SSU rRNA". It matches the Rfam family "Bacterial small subunit ribosomal RNA", at positions 29 to 437 of the family's 1533-position model. The record is from RNAcentral.
AACGAACGCUGGCGGCAGGCCUAACACAUGCAAGUCGAGCGCCCGCAAGGGAGCGGCGGACGGGUGAGUAACGCGUGGGAACGUGCCCUUUGCUACGGAAUAGCCUCGGGAAACUGAGAGUAAUACCGUAUGUGCCCUUCGGGGGAAAGAUUUAUCGGCAAAAGGAUCGGCCCGCGUUGGAUUAGGUAGUUGGUGGGGUAAUGGCCUACCAAGCCGACGAUCCAUAGCUGGUUUGAGAGGAUGAUCAGCCACACUGGGACUGAGACACGGCCCAGACUCCUACGGAGGCAGCAGUGGGGAAUCUUGCACAAUGGGGGAAACCCUGAUGCAGCCAUGCCGCGUGUGUGAAGAAGGCCUUCGGGUUGUAAAGCACUUUC